GAGGCGACCGCUGUGGGAGUCCGAUUAAGCCAUGCGAGUCGAGAGAAUAAGAUUCUCGGCAUACCGCUCAGUAACACGUGGAUAACUGCCCUGUGCUGGGGGAUAACCUCGCGAAAGUGAGAACAAUACCCCAUGGGUCACUAUGCCUGGAACGGUUAGUGGCUGAAAGCUCCGGCGGCACAGGAUGGGUCUGCGGCGUAUCAGGUCGUAGGGGGUGUAACGUACCUCCUAGCCUUCGACGCGUACGGGUUGUGAGAGCAAUUGCCCGGAGAUGGAUUCUGAGACACGAAUCCAGGCCCUACGGGGCGCAGCAGGCGCGAAAACUUGACAAUGCGAGAAAUCGUGAUCAGGGGACUCCAGUUGGCUGGAUCAAAAGUCCAGUCUGAACCGACUUUAAAUCGGUCGGGUAAUAGGGGCGGGAAAGACCGGUGCCAGCCGCCGCGGUAAUACCGGCGCCCCAAGUGGUCGUCACUAUUAUUGGGCCUAAAACGUCCGUAGCCGGUUUGGUAAAUCCGUGGGUAAAUCAGACAGCCCAACUGUCUGAAUUCUGCGGGGACUGCCAGACUUGAGACCGGGAGAGGUGCGGGGUACCUGCGGGGUAGCGGUAAAAUGCGAUCAUCCCGUAGAGACCACCUGUUGCGAAGGCGCCGCACUAGAACGGAUCUGACGGUCAGGGACGAAGCCUAGGGGCACGAACCGGAUUAGAUACCCGGGUAGUCCUAGGUGUAAACGCUGUGGACUUGGUGUCGGGGACCUUCUGAGGGUUUCCGGUGCCGGAGUGAAGAUGUUAAGUCCCCUGCCUGGGGAGUACGGUCGCAAGGCUGAAACUUAAAGGAAUUGGCGGGGGAGCACCGCAACGAGAGGAGCGUGCGGUUUAAU
RNAcentral lists this ribosomal RNA (879 nucleotides) under uncultured Candidatus Poseidoniales archaeon. Its description in RNAcentral is "SSU rRNA". It matches the Rfam family "Archaeal small subunit ribosomal RNA", at positions 20 to 906 of the family's 1478-position model. Lineage: Archaea; Methanobacteriati; Thermoplasmatota; Candidatus Poseidoniia; Candidatus Poseidoniales. The record is from RNAcentral.